CAACUUCCCCAAAGAUGUUGCUUCCUCUUUUUUAACUUAGUCAAGUAUUACCAAAACUAAUACAUGUCAAAUGCAUUUCUUCACAUGUCAAAUUAGCACCUGAAUUAAUCAUCAAUUCAACCACUACUGUNAGGGAAACAGGUAAGUCAAAUUGGGUAAACCAAUUACACUACACACCUCUUUCCUCUUUCAAGUGAUGAGCCCUAUAACCCCAAGGAAGAAAUCUACAGAGAUAUAUUAUAUUGUAUUGUAUCUACCACUGUCAAGAGCAGAAACAUACAAAUGGCAAAUGAAUUUUGUGAGGACAAGGAGAGAACAAGUUAAAUAUCAACUGCUCAGUGGUAUAAGGAUGAAGACACCCAAGGAAGAGCCAAAGAGGGCUAAAGAGCCUUCUAGGAACUCCAGAAGGAACUUUGCACGGUAUGCUAAAUGAAAGUGCUGUCCAUACCGCAACAAGGAAUGCCAUAGUCUGCAAUGAAACUUCUGAACCACCUAUCAUGAUCUUGCCUUCUGCUCUUCAAGGCAGUGUAAAGGCCAAAGGUGAAUAUUAUACCCAACAAUCCAUUUGUUUAAAGCCACUGAAAUUAAUACAUCUCUACCUUUGGAUCUUCAGCUUUGGGAAUUUUGAACGAACUCACCAUUCCCUG
This 647-nucleotide unclassified non-coding RNA is filed under the name Hevea brasiliensis (rubber tree). The record is from RNAcentral. Lineage: Eukaryota; Viridiplantae; Streptophyta; Magnoliopsida; Malpighiales; Euphorbiaceae.